UUCUCCCCUUCCGCAGAGAAUCAUUUCUAUAGUAGUCGUCCCUAGCUCUUGAUUUCUUAAUCAAGCUGCAGAACCUACGCCAGUUGAUGAUCAAUAUCCUCGCUACCCAAGAGUGAAUAUCUCUCUUAUGGCAUGCCUCUGGCUGCCGUUUGCUCUCGACCUGCCCCCAAGGGUGGCGGUUUUCCAAUAUGGAGAACUGUAUAGAGAGUGGUGAUGAUCUCAACCCCGAUCUGUGGUUUCUCGUCCUUGUUGACAGGCCGCCGGGGUGGGUAGUGGUGGAAGUCUGAUGGUC
Molecule: small nucleolar RNA, 292 nt
Filed under: Pestalotiopsis fici W106-1
Lineage: Eukaryota; Fungi; Ascomycota; Sordariomycetes; Amphisphaeriales; Sporocadaceae
Description: Fungal small nucleolar RNA U3
Rfam family: Fungal small nucleolar RNA U3
About the family: Small nucleolar RNAs (snoRNAs) are involved in the processing and modification of rRNA in the nucleolus. There are two main classes of snoRNAs: the box C/D class, and the box H/ACA class.
Source: Rfam by way of RNAcentral